RNAcentral lists this ribosomal RNA (464 nucleotides) under Bacillus sp. HPC998. Its description in RNAcentral is "bacterial SSU rRNA". It matches the Rfam family "Bacterial small subunit ribosomal RNA", at positions 39 to 484 of the family's 1533-position model. The record is from RNAcentral. Lineage: Bacteria; Bacillati; Bacillota; Bacilli; Caryophanales; Bacillaceae.
GGUAGUCGUUACCGGGAACCGUUAAUCUUAACCGGGAACCGUAAAGUUUGAUCUUGGUUCCUGAAAUCCGUAACGGAGGGACCCGAAACACGUGGGUAACCUGCCUGUAAGACUGGGAUAACUCCGGGAAACCGGGGCUAAUACCGGAUAACACCUACCCCCGCAUGGGGGAAGGUUGAAAGGUGGCUUCGGCUAUCACUUACAGAUGGACCCGCGGCGAUUACUAGUUGGUGAGGUAAUGGCUCACCAAGGCGACGAUGCGUAGCCGACCUGAAGGGUGAUCGGCCACACUGGGACUGAACACGGCCAACUCCUACGGGAGGCAGCAUAGGAAUCUUCCGCAAUGGACGAAAGUCUGACGGAGCAACGCCCCGUGAGUGAAAAGGUUUUCGGAUCCCAAAACUCUGUUGUUAGGGAAGAACAAGUGCCGUUCGAAUACGGCGGCCCCUUGCCGGUACCUAACA